GACGAACGCUGGCGGCGUGCUUAACACAUGCAAGUCGAACGAUGAAGAAGAGAAACGCGAACUUCGGUUCAAAUUUCACUUCGGAUUAGUGGCAGACGGGUGAGUAACGCGUGAGCAACCUACCUCUUACAAAGGGAUAGCCUCGGGAAACCGUGAUUAAUACCAUAUGACACAUUCAUAAGGCAUCUUAAGAAUGUUAAAGCUACGGCGGUAAGGGAUGGGCUCGCGUCCCAUUAGCUAGUUGGUGAGGUAACGGCCCACCAAGGCGACGAUGGGUAACCGGCCUGAGAGGGUGAACGGUCACAUUGGAACUGAGACACGGUCCAAACUCCUACGGGAGGCAGCAGUGGGGAAUAUUGCACAAUGGAGGGAACUCUGAUGCGGCGACGCCGCGUGAGCGAUGAAGGAAUUCGUUUCGUAAAGCUCUGUUCUAUGGGAAGAAAAGGACUGUACCAUAGGAGAAAGCUCCGGCUAAAUACGUG
RNAcentral lists this ribosomal RNA (482 nucleotides) under uncultured bacterium. Its description in RNAcentral is "partial 16S ribosomal RNA". It matches the Rfam family "Bacterial small subunit ribosomal RNA", at positions 28 to 507 of the family's 1533-position model. The record is from RNAcentral.